Molecule: ribosomal RNA, 497 nt
Filed under: uncultured bacterium
Lineage: Bacteria
Description: partial 16S ribosomal RNA
Rfam family: Bacterial small subunit ribosomal RNA
Source: RNAcentral
GACGAACGCUGGCGGCGUGCCUAAUACAUGCAAGUUGAGCGCUGAAGGCUGGUACUUGUACCAACUGGAUGAGCAGCGAACGGGUGAGUAACGCGUGGGGAAUCUGCCUUUGAGCGGGGGACAACAUUUGGAAACGAAUGCUAAUACCGCAUAAAAACUUUAAACACAAGGUUUAAGUUUGAAAGAUGCAAUUGCAUCACUCAAAGAUGAUCCCGCGUUGUAUUAGCUAGUUGGUGAGGUAAAGGCUCACCAAGGCGAUGAUACAUAGCCGACCUGAGAGGGUGGUCGGCCAAAUUGGGAAUGGGACACGGCCCAAACUCCUACGGGAGGCAGCAGUAGGGAAUCUUCGGCAAUGGACGAAAGUCUGACCGAGCAACGCCGCGUGAGUGAAGAAGGUUUUCGGAUCGUAAAACUCUGUUGGUAGAGAAGAACGUUGGUGAGAGUGGAAAGCUCAUCAAGUGACGGUAACUACCCAGAAAGGGACGGCUAACUACGUG